Myodes glareolus (Bank vole) is the source of this 667-nucleotide non-coding RNA. The record is from RefSeq and is a predicted model, not a curated record. NCBI's taxonomy places the organism in Eukaryota, Metazoa, Chordata, Mammalia, Rodentia, Cricetidae.
AUCUUACUGUCCAGAACCCUGACCACAAGGCUGAAGACACAGCUUCUGGUGGGUCUAUGGUACUUUCCAGGGUGACUGCAGGGAGAAGUGGGAAGUUGAGCCCCAGAAGGCUAGCCUGAGGGUGACAGGCCCAGCGUGGGCAUGAAAUGCAUCUGCAGAUGACACUCACACAGACACAGUGCUGGGCAAUGAUUCUCUUGGGGGCAGCUUACGAGGAGAGCUUGUAUGAGCUCCCAGAACAGAGCAACCACAACAGUGAUAACGGCACUGCCUUCAGGAAGCUCUGACUGCCAUCAGUGAAGCCCUCACAUGGGUUAUUUCCUGCUCAGCAGUUCCUCAGAGAGGGUUCACAGAAAAUUAAGGAAAGCUAGGGAGGGGUUUCUCAUCCAUCCUGCUUCAUGUCUCUAGCCUCCGUACACUACAUAGCCUACACCACAGAGUUCCAGUUGCUAAGAUGACUCUGCCAGUUGCUAAGAUGACCUGCCGACACACACCGUUACCAUCAAAAUACGAGACUUACAAAGGGGCAGCUUCUGAAAUGGAUGUGCUGUGCAGUCCUAUUGUCUCAGAAACUCAGGAGGCUGAGGCAGGAGGAUCAAAAGUUCAGUACCUGCCUGGGUGAUACUAUGUCUCAGAAAAGCAAAAAUAAACAAAAGAGGAGAUGGUU